CCUGCUCCCGGGCCCGACUGCGGCCGCCCCGGUCCCUCCGCUCCGCCAGGUGCGCCACACGGCGGCCGCCGGCGCGCGGCAGCCGUUAGCUCGGCCCCGCGGCGCCCCGCGGCGGGGGUGGGAUCCGCGGCCGCCUUGUUGCCUCCUCAGCGCGCUUCGGGGCCGGUAGGAGCUUCGGGAUGCCUCCGGUCUGCGGUAUUCCAAAUUCAGAAAUGUGCUACUGACGCAUUUGAGGAAGGAUUAGAGCGUAUCACCCAAUAUAUGCAAGUCUGAAAUGAGAGAAGGUUGCAUCAGGAUACUGUUGGCAAGGUUGCCACCUAAAUCAGCUAAUGGUCUCCUCUGCGAAAAUGGAAAAUAAUCCUUAACUUUCAAGGUCAGUCUGACAAUGCGGCUUGUUUAUGUUUGGUGCAUUGCUUCUUCAGCUACUGCUCUGAAAAGAAGUUGGGCUUUUUUGGAAUACCUAACAUGAGAAAUAUCCAGACUUGGAUAUUUGGAAACCAGUUUUGAAACUAUGAUGGCCACACUCCUGGGUUCUGUGAACUUCAAGUGGUACGUACACAUAUACACAAUUCUCUGAAUUAUCAUUUUCUUAAACUAGUCCCCAAACCCCAAUAAAUGUUAGCUGAGGCUUCAGUGAUAUUAAAGGAUUCAUCCUGUUCCUGACCAUGCCUGUGGCGCUACAAGGCUGUCAGAGAAUCACUUCCACCAAACAGUCACCAUUAUUUUUAGAGCCAAGCUGGGAACGCUUGUACCACUGACUCAGGACCAGCCUAGCCGCAUCUCAAGCCAUUGCUCUUCAAGGCAUUUGCCUUUUUUUUUACUUCAGAACCUUCCCAAGUUUUGUUGAAUAUUCUCACAAUUACCUAAUUGUUCCAAAUAGAAUUAGGCAUCUUUAAGUUUUCUGAAAACACAUGUCAAUAUUUUAUCUCUACCCUAUAUAAUUGUAUAUUGUCCUUUGUUUAGCCAUGCUGAGUGUUGUCUCCUAAACAUUUAAACUUAUGUCAUUUCUAACAAAUCUUCUACAAAGUAAUCAGCAAAACCAUUAGAUUAAAAAAGAAAACAAAAAAAAGACAAAAGGUAAAGCCUAGUUUUGAAAAUGAACCUAUUUAAAUACGUUGUUAUUAAAAAAUGUAAGAACCACAGGAAAAACACUGCCUGCCGCCCUUCUCCACUAUAUGAUCACUGCUAUACCUGUUGUGCUGAUCCUGAGGGCUAAUUAAUUCAUUUUUCAUCCUCACGGUGGUGAUCCUUAGAAAUCUGAAGGAUUAAAGGUCUAUGACUUUUCAGCAUCUUUUGGCUAUGAAAUGAUUCAUCACACAUAGACUUUUCUUUUUUCUGUAUAUUUGACUAAGUAAGAAUAGUCAGAAAAAAUCAUGAAACAAAGAGUGACCUUUGCAACUUAAGAAGAAUAUCCACUGAUCUGCCUCUUGAAGACAAUUAUGCUUCUGUAUUUUUUUUGACUACUUCUGGAUUUGG
Long non-coding RNA from Chroicocephalus ridibundus (black-headed gull), 1476 nucleotides. RefSeq lists it as uncharacterized. The record is from RefSeq and is a predicted model, not a curated record. The transcript has 5 exons. Lineage: Eukaryota; Metazoa; Chordata; Aves; Charadriiformes; Laridae.